RNAcentral lists this ribosomal RNA (352 nucleotides) under Dermacentor variabilis (American dog tick). RNAcentral's name for it is "partial 16S ribosomal RNA". The stretch from base 220 to 352 matches the Rfam family "Bacterial large subunit ribosomal RNA", at positions 2473 to 2606 of the family's 2925-position model. The record is from RNAcentral. Lineage: Eukaryota; Metazoa; Arthropoda; Arachnida; Ixodida; Ixodidae.
UACAGGGAAUAACUAUUUAAAGCUUAAAAAUUAAAAUUAUUUUAAUUUGUGAAGAAACAAUUAUUAAAAUUAAGGACAAGAAGACCCUAAGAAUUUUAAAAUAAUUAAUUUCUUAUAAGAAAUUAAUUAUUUUUAGUUGGGGCAACUAGAAAAUAUUAUAAACUUUUUAUAUAAUAAAAUGACCCAUUAUUAAUGAUCAUUUGAGAAAAAUACUCUAGGGAUAACAGCGUAAUAAUUUUUGAUAGAACCUAUAGACAAAAUAGUUUGCGACCUCGAUGUUGGAUUAGGAUACUUUUUUAAUGAAGAUGUUAAAAAAAGAAGUUUGUUCAACUUUUAAAGUCCUACUUGAUCU